GACGAACGCUGGCGGCGUGCUUAACACAUGCAAGUCGAACGGGCCCGCCCCUGUUUUUGGGGGUGGGUUGAGUGGCGAACGGGUGAGUAUCACGUGAGUAACCUGCCCCCUGCUCCUGGAUAACUGCUUGAAAGGGCGGCUAAUACGGGGUGUGCCGGCUGGUCCGCAUGGGCCUGGUCGGGAUAGUUUCAUCUUCGGGUGUUUCGGUGGGGGAUGGGCUCGCGGCCUAUCAGCUUGUUGGUGGGGUGAUGGCCCACCAAGGCGGUGACGGGUAGCCGGCCUGAGAGGGUGGGCGGCCACACUGGGACGGAGACACGGCCCAGACUCCUGCGGGAGGCAGCAGGGGGGGGUAUUGCACAAUGGGCGGAAGCCUGAUGCAGCGACGUCGCGUGAGGGAUGGAGGCCUUCGGGUUGUGAACCUCUUUCUCCGGUGGUGAAGGCCCUGUCCGUUGCGGCGGGGUUGACGGUAGCCGGGUAUGAAGCGCCGGCUAACUACGUG
This 499-nucleotide ribosomal RNA is filed under the name uncultured bacterium. Its description in RNAcentral is "partial 16S ribosomal RNA". It matches the Rfam family "Bacterial small subunit ribosomal RNA", at positions 28 to 507 of the family's 1533-position model. The record is from RNAcentral.